This 769-nucleotide ribosomal RNA is filed under the name uncultured bacterium. RNAcentral describes it as "bacterial SSU rRNA". It matches the Rfam family "Bacterial small subunit ribosomal RNA", at positions 28 to 808 of the family's 1533-position model. The record is from RNAcentral.
GAUGAACGCUGGCGGCGUGCCUAACACAUGCAAGUCGAACGGACUUACAUUGAAGCCUAGCGAUAUGUAAGUUAGUGGCGGACGGGUGAGUAACGCGUGGGUAACCUGCCUUGUACUGGGGGACAACAGUUGGAAACGACUGCUAAUACCGCAUAAGCGCACAGCUUCGCAUGAAGCAGUGCGAAAAACUCCGGUGGUACAAGAUGGACCCGCGUCUGAUUAGCUGGUUGGUGAGGUAACGGCCCACCAAGGCGACGAUCAGUAGCCGGCCUGAGAGGGUGAACGGCCACAUUGGGACUGAGACACGGCCCAAACUCCUACGGGAGGCAGCAGUGGGGAAUAUUGCACAAUGGGGGAAACCCUGAUGCAGCAACGCCGCGUGAGUGAAGAAGUAUUUCGGUAUGUAAAGCUCUAUCAGCAGGAAAGAAAAUGACGGUACCUGACUAAGAAGCCCCGGCUAACUACGUGCCAGCAGCCGCGGUAAUACGUAGGGGGCAAGCGUUAUCCGGAUUUACUGGGUGUAAAGGGAGCGUAGACGGUUUUGCAAGUCUGAAGUGAAAGCCCGGGGCUUAACCCCGGGACUGCUUUGGAAACUGUAGAACUAGAGUGCAGGAGAGGUAAGUGGAAUUCCUAGUGUAGCGGUGAAAUGCGUAGAUAUUAGGAGGAACACCAGUGGCGAAGGCGGCUUACUGGACUGUAACUGACGUUGAGGCUCGAAAGCGUGGGGAGCAAACAGGAUUAGAUACCCUGGUAGUCCACGCCGUAAACG